Molecule: ribosomal RNA, 253 nt
Filed under: uncultured bacterium
Lineage: Bacteria
Description: partial 16S ribosomal RNA
Rfam family: Bacterial small subunit ribosomal RNA
Source: RNAcentral
UACGGGGGAUGCGAGCGUUAUCCGGAUUUAUUGGGUUUAAAGGGUGCGUAGGCGGCGCUUCAGGUCAGCGGUGAAAUACCGGGGCUCAACCCCGGGGCUGCCGUUGAAACCGGAGCGCUAGAAUUCCGAUGCCGUCGGAGGAAUGUGUGGUGUAGCGGUGAAAUGCAUAGAUAUCGCGCAGAACUCCGAUUGCGAAGGCAGCAUGCCGGCUCCACACUGACGCUGAGGCACGAAAGCGUGGGUAUCGAACAGG